RNAcentral lists this ribosomal RNA (475 nucleotides) under uncultured bacterium. Its description in RNAcentral is "bacterial LSU rRNA". It matches the Rfam family "Bacterial large subunit ribosomal RNA", at positions 692 to 1164 of the family's 2925-position model. The record is from RNAcentral.
GCGUUGAGUAGCAUGGCGUAGACCCGAAACCGGAUGAUCUAUCCAUGGCCAGGAUGAAGGUGCCGUAACAGGUACUGGAGGUCCGAACCCACUAGUGUUGAAAAACUAGGGGAUGAGCUGUGGAUAGGGGUGAAAGGCUAAACAAAUCCGGAAAUAGCUGGUUCUCCCCGAAAACUAUUUAGGUAGUGCGUCAUGUAUCACUUGCGGGGGUAAAGCACUGUUAUGGCUAGGGGGGUCAUCGCGACUUACCAAACCAUGUCAAACUCUGAAUACCGCAAAGUGCGAGCAUGGCAGACAGACAGUGGGUGCUAACGUUCAUUGUCGAGAGGGAAACAACCCAGACCGCCAGCUAAGGUCCCAAAGACACAGUUAAGUGGGAAACGAAGUGGGAAGGCAUAGACAGCUAGGAGGUUGGCUUAGAAGCAGCCACCCUUUAAAGAAAGCGUAAUAGCUCACUAGUCGAGUCGUCCUGCGC